GACGAACGCUGGCGGCGUGCCUAAUACAUGCAAGUAGAACGCACAGUUUAUACCGUAGCUUGCUCCACCAUAGACUGUGAGUUGCGAACGGGUGAGUAACGCGUAGGUAACCUGCCUGGUAGCGGGGGAUAACUAUUGGAAACGAUAGCUAAUACCGCAUAAUAUUAAUUAUUGCAUGAUAAUUAAUUGAAAGGUGCAAUUGCACCACUACCAGAUGGACCUGCGUUGUAUUAGCUAGUAGGUGAGGUAACGGCUCACCUAGGCGACGAUACAUAGCCGACCUGAGAGGGUGAUCGGCCACACUGGGACUGAGACACGGCCCAGCCUCCUACGGGAGGCAGCAGUAGGGAAUCUUCGGCAAUGGACGCAAGUCUGACCGAGCAACGCCGCGUGAGUGAAGAAGGUUUUCGGAUCGUAAAGCUCUGUUGUAAGAGAAGAACGGGUGUGAGAGUGGAAAGUUCACACUGUGACGGUAUCUUAACAGAAAGGGACGGCUAACUACGUG
Molecule: ribosomal RNA, 505 nt
Filed under: uncultured bacterium
Lineage: Bacteria
Description: partial 16S ribosomal RNA
Rfam family: Bacterial small subunit ribosomal RNA
Source: RNAcentral